AAAAAGUAGCCGAAAAUACCUCGCGUGAUUUGUGCACAACCCCUUAGGAAUAUGACGAUACCGUAAAAUUAUACAUAAUCUAUCUUCUAAACGCUUAGAGCAUUUAAUAAUUGGAGUCUUUAAGAGCUUACCCCUCUGCCGAAAACCUUGCACAGUUGUGCAAACUUUUGUAUGGACUGACAUGGCUAUUUGUACGUUACGUAGAAAUCAUGUAGAAAUCAAUACAUUUGACGUCUCUCCUGCAAAAAUCGGCAGACUGUUUUGUACAGAAAAUGACAGCCAUGACGUCUCCAGUUACUAAAUGUUUUAAGUCUAAGCGGUUACAAAUCGGAAGAUUUUUUUCUGUGAUUUGCUCGGACGCAUUUUUUUUAUAAAAAUCAUUAAAUUAGAAAAGUCACAAAUAGAUUUGUGUCUCAGAUAUAUGAAAAUUUUCUAAACUAAGUCGCUUUCGGGCAAAUUAAAAAUAGUAUAAUUUUACGCUGUUGUGUAAUCGUUUUGUAAUGUGUCUUCUUGGGCACCAAUGUCAUGAUAAUAUAAUGAAAUGAAUGUUGAUUGCGCUGCUAAAACAAUUAAGUUUUCUGAUUUAAAUAUUAGAUUAACCCUUCGACCGCUAAAGAUGUCAACUAACGCGCGCGGCUACAGAAAUAUCUAGCCUCUAGCAGCCCAGGGACCCAUAAAAAGGUCUGUUCCAUUCAAACUAUUAAUGACUACUAACUACUAAUUUGAACUUGGUGUUGAUAAAAUCAAAAUUUCAUUUUGCUUAGCAAGGUUGGACGUACGGGCGGCUAAAGGUUUCCGUCAAGGUUCACAAUGACGUGCCGCGCACGGUGUAGCGUUUAAAGGGUUAAAAUUGACAAUCGUGACAUUUUAUGACAGAACGAUUGUCAGUUGACAAACUGUGUGGCGCAAUCAGUAUUUAAAGUGUUAUGAAAAGACUGUCAUAAUAUUAGAAUACGCGAGAUUUCAUCAUUUUAGCGUAAUUAUCGUAUAGAUUAAAUUUUAACUGUUGCGAAAAUGGCAAUUUAUCAAGAAGACAAACUAGCGUCAAUAAUUACGUGUGAUGUAGUUAAAAUUAUUAAUUACUGAUUUGACAAACAUUUUAAUGUCUAUUUAAGAGGGGGCGUAAAGCCAGGAAAUUAGAAGGGGAUAAGAGAUUUUAUAUUUAUUGGCAACGGAGCCAAGCUGUUACGUCGUCGCCCAAAUCUAAUGUUUAAUUUGUCUUUGGUUUUUAUUUGUAGUUUCUUUGUACUUAUUGUAUUUUAUUUUGUAGUUUCACAGUGCCUUGGUUUUACUGUAAUGCUGUGUUACUUAUUUGACUAAUAAAUAAAUAAAUAAAUAAUAUUUUAUAGGCGCGAAAAUGUUAAAAAUUGACAUGAUGCAAAUAUGAGCAUUUCUUUUAUUAUUUGCCAUUUUUAUAUAUUGUGACAUUGUUUACCGCUUUUGUGUUAUUCCUACUCAAAAUAACGAGCUCUUUCGAUACUAAUACUCGGAGUAAUUAACAAUGGAGCCGCCAUUAACAGGCGUUCCCCUCUGUCGAAAAUAGGCGGCCAAUGGUCAACCACAUGUCAACCAUAUGUAUGGACUGACGUUUAUCUGACAUGACGUACCUAUACAUUUGAUGUGCCCCUCCCCCGCAAAAAACGGCAGACUAUUUUGUACCGAAAAUUUUAGACAUGGCGUCUCCGUUGGUUAUAUCCUCUAAGUACUAAUAGGAUAAAAAAAUGUCCCAGGGUUUUUUCCUAUUGUGUUAUCAUUUCUCCAUAUUUGUAUGGCGGUAACAAAAAGGAAAGAUUGAAAAAUGUACGUGUAGAAAUUUUAGGACACUUUUUUUCUCCUGUAAGGAUGAAAAGGGCUCGCGAUCCCGACUAGAAAUAACACAAAAGUGGCAAAAAAGGUCUCAAUAUAUAAAAAUGGCAAAAAUUAAAAGAAACGCUUGUGUAGUCUAUUUUCCGGGUGAUUUCUUUCAUGGCAUUUGCCCUUGAUUAAAUGAAUAUAAAAAUCCAUAUAAAAACAAAGAUUUGGCAAUAAGCCCCCUCUUAAAAAGAGAUAUUAUGAUGAUCUUUUCUCUAUGACUAUAAUAAACAUAAUGAAGAGAUAAAUUAAAUGUUAAAAACGCAGAAAAACUUGUGUGCUGUUUAAAACUUUGCAUUAUACACCUCUUGGUUUCAAAAUAAUCUACACAAAGAUUGCCGAAGCCUUUAAGAUCAUAUACAGAUAUAACUAAAUGUAACCUAAAGAUAAUGAAAGUAAUGUAAUAUUCGAUCUGUCGGUAUAUAUAAUACAACACCUUUUUAAACUGUACCCGUAUGUUGAAUCGACUUACGUGAAAAUGAAACUUACAGUCGAGAUAUACGAGAAAUAACAAAUUAUUCGUGACAUCCCACGGGUAAAGGUACCUUAUGGCGGUAGGCGCUUACGCUAUUAACGCCGCUCCAAUAUUAUUGCGGCGCCAUGUGACGUAAGCGCUAGCCGCCAUAAGGUACCCUUUUCUGUGGAAAGUCACAUUUGUCUUCAGUUGCGAUGGAUUACUUCUAUAAAUUAUUUAUAAAGUUAAAUUGGAUUGUGAGUAUAUAAAAUACUACGCCCUCCGGAAUGCGCCAAGGGAUUUUAGACCGUAUCCCGACGGUGAUUAGAUAGGUUUUGUGUCGAUCUUGUUCAAAUAACGAAAUAUGUGUGAGCUUAUUGUCCGUAGAAACGGGGAAGGAUAUCGGUAUUUCUUAUUUUUUUAAAUAAAUUAUUGAUAUUCUUAAUAAAGCGAUUGGUUAAAUAUCUUAUAUUUUUUCUGCAAGUUACGAUUAUUGUUUACGAACCGGGUUUUGGUUCGAAAGUCGCACGCCUUACCUUUAGGCCACCAACGAACGCUUCAAUAAAACUUUUAACAAAUCGAUUUUAUCUACUUAUAAAACUCAUGUUAAUAUUGUGGCGUUUAAUUUUGAUUGAAACCAUUAUUCAGAUUCCGUCAAAACAAUAAUGAAGUAAACUAUACUUAGAGCCCGUUUAAGCUCACUGUGACCCGACUCGACAAGCACAGAGUGUGGUGUCGCCAUAAAUUAAAUUCGAAAAUAUGACGUUUAUAUAGCGGCGUUGUCACACUUUGUCCCAGACAACUGAGGCUCUAAGAUAGCCUAUUACCGGUCAAUAUUACCGGUAACAUGUCCCCGAGUAGAAAUAUCAACGGUGUUACUUUCGAUGUCAUAGAUGUACUGGAACUUAUUGGAUGUUGUUUAUUCGUAUCUAAACGUGCUCAUGUCCGUACUAUAAACGGGAAAGUAAAUCAUCUUCAUAUGACACCACACUAGCGUCUCUCGAGCGUCGGCGUCUAGUAUACUCUAUGGCUGCCGCUCGACGCAACGUACGCGCUACUGCGCAGUGACGCCAUUUUCCAUGGCGCUAACUUAGACGCCGACGCUAAAAAGGCGUGGUCCUUAAACUCCAGUUGCUGAAAAACAGUUUUUUUAAAACCAUUUUCUGUAAUUAGUACUUGUUAUUAGAGAUGCACCGGAUAUCCGGUUACUAUCCGGUAUCCGGCCUAUCCGGCCAUUAUUUUACUAUCCGGCCGGAUACCGGAUAGCGACCUGCUAUCCGGCCGGAUACCGGAUAGUAACAUUGCUUGAUUUCGGAGUAAAAAAUUGGAUUUAAGAAACAGACGACAGUUUUGACGGUCAUAAUCGUACUUGUUUAUUAUUUUAAAACAAUUCAUUCCACUGACUUGCACGCGCACUCAUUUCGAACCUAGAAAUGAGUCCGCGCGAACGAACGUUUACUAGGAAACAGGUCAAACCUGCAGAAUGCGCACCUGAAAAACCGAAAUGUAGGUAUAGUUCCGCCGACCGAAUAUCCGGCGGCCGGAUACCGGAUAUUCGGCCAGUGCCAAGGCCGGAUAUCCGGUAUCCGGCCAAACAACUGUCCGUUGCAUCUCUACUUGUUAUCAUUUUUCCACAUACGGAAGAUUGCGGGUUAUAUUUAACAAUAGACUAAGGAUAAGGCGUCGGGGUUCUAUUAGAAAGCUACAAACUAUACUUUUGGAUGAGAUUGGCCCAGGACCAGGAUAAGUGGCGUAUUCGAAGAGAGGCCUAAGCUCAGUAGUGGGCGAUAAAAGGCUGAUAUGAUGAUGAUGAUAAUGAUCAUCAUCAUCAUUUUUUAAACUUGUACUCGAACAAAGUGAGGUUCAUCAUAUGAAGAUGAUUUGAAUUUCUUUUGUUACUAUUUCCUAUCCAAGACAUUUUUAUGUUAUAUCAAUAUUCGAUGGAAGAUCUGAUUAUAGUGAAAUAUAUCUACUGUUUCUUCUGUCAGUUAACACAGACAGGGCAAGGAGUGUGAUUUUAUUAAAGGUAUGGAAAUUGUGACAGAAGUAAGUCAUUUUCAGGACAGUCAAGAAACUUUCAUGUGUCAAGUUAGUAUACCUAAAUUUAGUACUGUUCUCAAAAUUACUCACUUCUAUCGUUUUAUUAUUAUGACGGACUUAGGGAUUUACUAAAACAUAAUAUUAAAUUCUAAAUACGCCACUCACGAAGUGCGAUAGACAAAAAUUGUAAAUAUUUUUUUAAGAGUAAAACAAUUCUAGACGAUUUUUUAAAAUGAAUUGGUACAUUUUUGGAAAUUAAAAGAGGUUUGUGCGUGUUUGUAAUGUUCGCCCUCGUUGAAGCGGUUUACUGUACUUUGGAUUUCCCCCGCUAGGGGGCGGUGUGUCGUUUCGAAAAAAUAUACUUGUGUAAAAUAAAAAGGCCUAGAAGGUUAGUGCUACACAUUUGUGGUUGCCUUUGAGUAUAUUUCGCUAUGUUAUUGAAAAAGCGACUGAGAUAGGGAUGUUAUAGGCUUCAGUUUCGGUGUCAAAACUGAAGUCAAAAACAUAUCUAUCUCAGCUUCAGUGCCUGCGCACUGCACUCCCGUAGCUCGGCUUUCGGCCUCGCGUGCUUAGCCUUCGGCCUCACGUGCUUGGCCUAUGGGACAGUUGGAACUAGCUUUCUAGGCCUUAUUAUUUAUAUUUUUCUAAUGCAGUCCCGACCAGUCAUUGUCUCGCGUCUUAGAAACAAAUUAACGAUUUUCAACUCUAUUUCCAUGUACGGGGAAAGGUUUAAAUUUGAUAAUCCGUUUCUAAAGGCGUCCUUAUAGUGAUGCCCUCGCUUCACGCGUCAACACGCACACAAUUACAUACUUUUAUAUGGAUGAUGCUCAAUUUGAAACUAUUAGCUUUUUUACAACUAGCUUUUGACAAAUCUAAAGUUGUUUUAUAUUAUGUUGUAUGAUUACCAACAUAUAAAAUUAUUUCUCUGGCACAAAUCUAGAUAACAGAUUUUGCUUCGAUCUAUUAUAUAAUACAAUACAUAAACAACCCAUCUCAUCCGAGGUCAUUUAUCGGUCCGAAUCGCUAGACGAGGACCAUUAUACGUCGAAAAUAAAAUGCCUAUUUUACUUUUCUACACUAGGACGUAAAAUCCAUUUUAAACAACCUACACUCAUCUAUAAAAAAGUAGUUACAUGAGAUGUACUAAGUAUUUUUUUAUACUGACUUUUUGACAUAAAGUUAACGAUUUCAACAGACUUUUUGACAUAAAGGCAACAUCAUAUUGCGUUUAGAUUAUACCGUGUCCAUGUUGACUAGUGUAUGCGCGGCCGCCAGUAUUGCUCAAUGGAUCUGGGAUUAUGCUCUAAAAAGUUGUACAGACGUAGUGCAUAAUUGUUUUCCAUCGUAUUUUCUAGGAAACGUUCGUAUUUAUCAUGCUACUUCAGUCAACCUCAGUAAUUUUUGUACCGAGACUAACUGAAGUAGCAAAAUACGUUCGCCCGUUUCCGUGAAAAUACGAUGGAAAUAGCCCAAUCGGUCGGCAUCUCGUCUUAUGUUUCAAUUUUCAAUAAUUUGGGAAAUGCUGGUAUAACUCUAAUAAGAAUCUUCAGUCUUUAGACUUUAUAUUUUACUUUUAGUAGCAAUCUUAGAAAUCAUUGGGCAGUACUGAAAAGGAUCGGUCGGUAUCACUCGACGUACUCAGUUUUAAUAACUACGCGUUACGGUGUAUCCAUACGUGUUCGAUAUUUGGUUUUAAUUCCGUGUGAAUGUACCGUAAGGGCCACCCCACACUAGCGUCGGCGUCUAGUCAAUUCUAUGGUUGCUGCUCGACGCAACUACGCAGCGACGCCAUUUUCCAUAGCGCUGACUUUUUUUUUAAUAGACGUCGGCGCUUGAAAGACGCUGGUGUGUGGUAGCCCUAAGAUCUGAGUGAGUACAGGCCAAUCCUUUCACGAGGGAUAUUAUACUGUGUUCUUAUAGCAUAAGGUCGACUUUUCGACGGACAUGUACAUAAAUGUUACUGUAGUUGAUGUAUAUUAAGGCGAUGUUCGCUUAGUUUUAAGAGCUUGCGCCCGCGCGCCUUAACUGAAUGUAAGCAAUUUUUUUUUAUUACCUAUAUUUACUUUUUGUUUAAUAAAUACAUUUAUUUGACAAAAAAUUUGAUUAUUGCGUAACUGAGCAGGCUUUGGUAAAUGGACCCCUGAUAUAUAGGUAAAUAUUGUAAUUGUUUUCGUGAAUGAUAAAAUGAAAGUAUUGUCUGUACCGAUAAGAAUAAAAAUACCGCCUAAAUAUGAAACUUGAUAAAAUAUCUGAACAUUACUUUUUGUUUAUCAUCCAUGUAUUAAUGCUGGUUUUACACAUUUGUUAUUUUAUUACAGAAUAUUAAAUUUAAUUUUUCUAAUCUUUUUGAUUUAUAUUAUUGUGAUGAUCGUAAAACUAAGAUACUAUUACUGUUAAUAGUUAUUGUAUCUUCUUUUUAGGUAAUAAUGUCGAUAACUUCGUCAAGAAUUGGACAACAUUAUAAAAUUACUUUCGAUUUUUAGGAAAAUUGGCGUAAUACAAAGAUUAGAGUGCGAAUGUGUAAUCCCGCCAUUACAUAACAAGCCUAGUCUAAUGAAAUUCAUGGUCCUUAGACAUUUGACCAAUAUUUUGAGUGUGAAGAUGAAAUUGUCAAACAAAUUUGAACCUUGAGGCGUAUGAAAUAAAGUUUGCGUUGGCCAUUGAGUUAGUCUCGUAUUUAUGUUUUGGAUUGUUAUUAGUUUAGCAUAGCGCGAUGUGGGUGGUGGCGAUGGACAAAAUAGUAUUUUACUUGAAUUAUAUGAAAUGUAUGAAACUACACAAGGGAUAUAAACAUGAAAUUUAUCACAAGGUACGAAAGUUAAUUUUGACCAAGCCAAAUAUAACGCAACUAAAGAAAUAAUACAACCGAAAAAAACAGCAUAACCAACUUGAAGCUAAGAUAAUAUCCCCCCGAGUCCCAGAGGCCUUUAUAAAAGCUUAAUUCCAAAACGUAAAUUAACUUUCAUUAAAUAAGUCAAGGUACCAAAUUUAAAAAGGAAACCAAGUAAUUAUUCUGGGUCUUAGGAGGCUAGAGAUGCGGUUUUAAAAAUAAUCUCAUAUAUACAACAUUUGUAACUAAAUCAUAAGUAGGCUGAGCCCCGCAAUUCACUUCGUGGUUUGCUAUCGCGUUGCUGCGUCACUCGCAACAUGAAUUUGGCAAAUACGGCCAUGUGUUUCCUAGGGGUCUCUACUGUUUCCCAAAUAGUUUUAAGUCAUAAUGUAUUGUUUGUCCGAAUUUCCUUAAGUCAUAAUUGGUUUUUCUCAGAAACGCGUAACUUUUCAAGAUUGUCAUAAAACAAACCUAACCUAACCCAACCUAGCUACAUAAUAACCUUACAAAAAUCCUGAAAAGUUAACGGUUUCAGUUUUAUGACUCACGAUGAUAUGACAAACAAUACAUUAUGACUUAAAACUUUAUGGGAAACAAAGGGACACCGUUUCGUUGACACCACGUCCUUAAGAAUAACAGGAGGUACCAUAUUGUCGAUUAGCACGUUUUUUAAAGGCAAUUAUUUUAGGGUUUUUUUUUAUGGUAAUUGAUCUUUCUCUACUCGACUUCGCAGUACGCACAAUGGUUUAACGUGACGAUUUAAGGGUACGCAUAAUGUUCUGCAUGUUGACGAAGUAGUUUCAUAAUUAUUUAAAAAAAAUACUCAAAGUCCAUCGGCUUACCUUCCACGUCGUCGUACCGAAAUGGCUGUUAAAAUAAAUAUAAGUUCGCGCCUUUUUACGCAAUCGUUGACGAUCUACCGACUAUCGAGAGUCCGCAUCUUAGGCGAAUCAACAUAAAUUAAAUUUCAUUUUCUUACAUGAUCAGAGGGUCAACAUAAUUUCGUUAUCUGCCUCUCUAUUGCUCGAAUAAUCAUGAGCGAUUGUCGCAGGUAACGGUUUUCGAUGUCGGCAGUAAGCCUAAAAACCUGUGUAUUGACUGGUAUAAAUGAAAGAAAUAUACAAAUCUGUAACAUGUCGUAUAUUUUUGUCAUCGUGGCAGUCACUUUCAACAGGAAUGUAAGUUGUGAGUGACGCGUGACAUGACAAACUACAGUAGAGUCCGGUUAGUACGACUCCGCAUAUAACAACCAACCGCUUAUAGCGACGUAAGUAUAGGCACUUGUUUGGUUUUAGUACAAGCUACUAUGAAAGUACAACCGUUUAUAACGACUCCGCUUAUAACGACUGACUGCUUUUAACGACGGAAAUUGACAAAAAAUCCGUCCGUCAAGUCCGGUUACAACGACGAGCGACGUAGUUUUUACAAAUAAAUUGUUGGUAAGAAGCUUACUCCGUCCAGCGCACCCAACUCCCCUCCCCCCUUUUGCCUAUACGGAGCAAGAUGAAAUAGUCAUGUGACUUUUCGUAAACUUGCAAACUAAAUAAAACCAACUCCCAUUUUUCAAUUGAGCUUAAACUUCACAUACAUAAUUAUGUAAGUUGGGUAACAAUGCAAUAUUUUGGUAGGUAACUUCGAGCUGAUCUGAUGAUGGACACAGAAAGUGGCCAUAGGAACUGUGUGAUAAAACAACGUCAUCUUGAUUAGAUCCUCAAGAAUUACGACUUUUUAUUUUACGGGAUUCGAGUAAUUUGCGGCUUCUUGAAAAGCCUUCGCCUUGAAAAGUGGCUUCUUCUAACUAAACACACAAGUCUCUCCAUUUUGACAAGGUGUCGUAAUACUAAUGUAAAAAAAUAUUUUAAAAGAAAUGUUUUCUUUUUUCUUUGAUUGUCGCAUACGUAUUAAUAAAUACAAAAUGAUUUUUGAUUUAAAACAUAUAUGUAAAUUGGCAGUUCGUUUUGUACGACGUCCGGUUAGUACGACGUAAUAUCAUCGGUCCCUUGGGCGUCGUUAUAACCGGACUCUACUGUAUAUAAUUGCUAUUAUAAGUACUGUCAUACAUUCGUAGAUACAUUUUUGGAAAUAUCAAGAGUUGGGCUUUAGUGCGUUCUCCCGAUAGUCUACUUAUUAUCUAUAUGCACAUUUAGAAACAGAUCAAUUUGAUAUCAAUAUCAGUUUCUGAAUGUGCUGUUUUUGUGUCCGAGCUAUGUAUGGAUCUGUAUUUGUAGCGUGCUUUAUUACGCCAUUUUAGUUAAGCUUCUGGGGAUGUAUGUAAGGCUCGUUUUUCUGACGGUCAAUUCUGCGUUAUAUCUCUAUAGAAAUGAAUUUAAAUAGGCAAUUAUCACAUACAUAAGUGUAUUCCGUAUUGGCUGAUUUAUUUCAAGAAAACAACCAUAUAAUAAUUAAUAACUUAUUGACCAUAUGAAAACUUCGUUACAACCAUGUCAAGGAACAUAAUGGAGGAACUUCAUCAGAAUCAAGGAACCCUUUAGGACUGACCGUCAAAAAAACAGUCUAAACCUUAUGUUGUACAGUAGUUAAGUGGAUGUCGUCUAUCGUGCAACUAUACUGGCCGGAAGCGCCGCCAUAUUUGUAUUUUAAAGUUUAGUCACCGGCGGCGCCUAUAGCUCCCUAUGGUUGGACGGAUAGACUAAUAUCAUGUACCAAAUAAUAUAGAAAAUUAUAGAAAAAUAA
Molecule: long non-coding RNA, 9869 nt
Organism: Cydia fagiglandana
Lineage: Eukaryota; Metazoa; Arthropoda; Insecta; Lepidoptera; Tortricidae
Exons: 2
Source: RefSeq, a predicted model, not a curated record